CGAGAGAGGCUGCAGUUUGCUGUAAACAGGAACUGAGAAAUUAAAGCAAUUGAAAGGCAGCAGGAGGCAGGCAGCCAAAUUAGAAUGGCAUGUGCAGAAGGCGUUUCCCAGCCUCAAGGCAUCAGAAUAGGCUGCAUAAGAACGCUUCCUCCUCCGCUCGGCUCUAACCGGAGUUGCUGAAGCCCUAAGAAGGAGCAGAUUUACCUCCCCUCUUCGUAAGCAUGCCUUUUCCCGGAGAACCGUGUGCCUACCGGGAUUCCUACAGUGUGAGCCUCCCCUCAUGGACACUCGUAUUGGAACCACCAAGCUACGUGGCCGAGACAACCCUGACAGACUUGGAGAUUCUCAUCCCUGAACCUUACGAAUAUCCAGAUGGGGACCUCUAUCCGUGCGACCUUCCUCCGUCGCACUGCCACUUGCCUCCCGUAUCCCCCCUCGUCUUUGCCUCCUUUGUCACUGAGUUGCUUGAGGCCUAAACAUGGCAGACCAGCUGCCAUAUUUCAGUAGGUCCACUUCACGGAGGACACUAUGAAGAGAAGUGAGCCCCAGCGUGGAGCCCGAGGAAAGUGGAAGAGGAUACGACUAGAGUAGCAUCUUAGAAAGGUUGUCAGCUUGAGUUCACCAUCAUUACUGGUCUCUGCUCUGAAAAAUCAUGAGCACCAACCACCAGGAUGUCUCCUGUAUGUGAAUAUACCUAUACUUUGGAAAUAUAUAAAGAUAUAUUAAUAAUAACGAAUACUGUGAAUUAUA
Long non-coding RNA from Varanus komodoensis (Komodo dragon), 750 nucleotides. RefSeq lists it as uncharacterized. Lineage: Eukaryota; Metazoa; Chordata; Lepidosauria; Squamata; Varanidae. The transcript is spliced from 2 exons. The record is from RefSeq and is a predicted model, not a curated record.